Lagopus leucura (white-tailed ptarmigan) is the source of this 521-nucleotide long non-coding RNA. RefSeq lists it as uncharacterized. The record is from RefSeq and is a predicted model, not a curated record. The transcript is spliced from 3 exons. Lineage: Eukaryota; Metazoa; Chordata; Aves; Galliformes; Phasianidae.
GCUGGAGAUCCCUGUCUACCUGAGGCUUUGCAAGGGCCACCACCUGGGGACAUCAGAGAUGCCAAUCUUUUCUAUUCUACUUGCUAACACCGAGUUGCUCUCUGUACUGUGGAGAAGCACCGUAACAGGGAGGGCGCUCGCUCUGAGGGCUCUGGGAUGAGGGGAUGGAUUCAAACCAUUUACCUUCAUACACUUUGAGGUUUGUGAAGAACUUUGGAAACGACUGUUCCAGCGCUUUCAAAACAGAGGUCUGUGCUCUGUUUAAGACAACCUCCCAGGCAGAACCGCGCAGCACUGGCACACGGCUCAGAGAACGGUUCGUCUGUUUAGCACUGCAUUCGACAUUAGCAUCCCCGGAUCGCCGUUCCUAACUUUGCACUUCAACUUUUGGUAACUCAGGACGGGACCGCCUGAGCUCUCCGGCCUCACCAGGCAGCAACCGAGCGUGGGGCUCACCAGGUGCCGCCCCGCUCUGUGAGGGGACGCAGCCUGGGGUCGGACGAGGAGCGAGCGCGACCGUU